Molecule: ribosomal RNA, 257 nt
Filed under: uncultured bacterium
Lineage: Bacteria
Description: partial 16S ribosomal RNA
Rfam family: Bacterial small subunit ribosomal RNA
Source: RNAcentral
UACGUAGGGACCAAGCGUUGUUCGGAUUUACUGGGCGUAAAGGGCGCGUAGGCGGCGAAUCAAGUCAGCUGUGAAAUCUCCGAGCUUAACUCGGAACGGUCAGCUGAUACUGUUUUGCUAGAGUGCAGAAAGGGCAACCGGAAUUCUUGGUGUAGCGGUGAAAUGCGUAGAUAUUGGGGAGGAACACCAGUGGCGAAGGCGGCUCACUGGACCGGUUCUGGACGCUGAGGCGGCGAAAAGCGUGGGGAGCAAACGGG